Molecule: ribosomal RNA, 442 nt
Filed under: Escherichia coli
Lineage: Bacteria; Pseudomonadati; Pseudomonadota; Gammaproteobacteria; Enterobacterales; Enterobacteriaceae
Description: bacterial SSU rRNA
Rfam family: Bacterial small subunit ribosomal RNA
Source: RNAcentral
CCUACGGGGGGCUGCAGUGAGGAAUUUUCUGCAAUGGGCGAAAGCCUGACAGAGCAAUACCGCGUGAGGGAUGAAGGCCUACGGGUUGUAAACCUCUUUUUUCAAGGAGGAAGAUCUGACGUUACUUGAAGAAUAAGCAUCGGCUAACCCUGUGCCAGCAGCCGCGGUAAUACAGGGGAUGCAAGUGUUAUCCGGAAUCAUUGGGCGUAAAGCGUCUGCAGGUUGAUCUCUAAGUCUUUUGUUAAAUCUUUGGGCUCAACCCGAAAUCUGCAAAGGAAACUAUAGAUCUUGAGUAUAGUAGAGGGAAAGGGAAUUUUCAGUGGAGCGGUGAAAUGCGUAGAUAUUGGAAAGAACACCGACAGCGAAGGCACUUUCCUGGGCUAUUACUGACACUCAGAGACGAAAGCUAGGGGAGCAAACAGGAUUAGAUACCCUAGUAGUC